UCGACCGCGAGGUCGAAUCUGAAGGAAGUCGGCGGCAAACCUACGACCUGAGGAACACGAACCUCAUAUGAGGCCAGUGCUCGCUGGAUGAGUCUGCAAUACACAAGACAAAGUCCUAACUGCCGAAGACAAGUAAAGGUAAAUGAGGCAAGUAGAUGGAGAGAAAGAUGGCACU
This 175-nucleotide non-coding RNA is filed under the name Aneurinibacillus thermoaerophilus. The record is from RNAcentral. Lineage: Bacteria; Bacillati; Bacillota; Bacilli; Caryophanales; Paenibacillaceae.